UACGGAGGGUCCGAGCGUUAAUCGGAAUUACUGGGCGUAAAGCGCGCGUAGGCGGUUAUUUAAGUCAGAUGUGAAAGCCCCGGGCUCAACCUGGGAACUGCACCUGAUACUGGAUAACUAGAGUACAGAAGAGGGUGGUGGAAUUUCCUGUGUAGCGGUGAAAUGCGUAGAUAUAGGAAGGAACACCAGUGGCGAAGGCGACCACCUGGUCUGAUACUGACGCUGAGGUGCGAAAGCGUGGGGAGCAAACAGG
This 253-nucleotide ribosomal RNA is filed under the name uncultured bacterium. RNAcentral's name for it is "partial 16S ribosomal RNA". It matches the Rfam family "Bacterial small subunit ribosomal RNA", at positions 524 to 776 of the family's 1533-position model. The record is from RNAcentral.